Molecule: transfer RNA, 75 nt
Filed under: Sphaerodactylus townsendi
Lineage: Eukaryota; Metazoa; Chordata; Lepidosauria; Squamata; Sphaerodactylidae
Description: tRNA-Ser
Rfam family: tRNA
About the family: Transfer RNA (tRNA) molecules are approximately 80 nucleotides in length. Their secondary structure includes four short double-helical elements and three loops (D, anti-codon, and T loops).
Source: RNAcentral
GGAGAGGUCAUAGGUCAGUGAUAGAGCAUCUGCUUUGAAUGCAGAAGAUCCCAAGUUCAGUCCCUGGCUUCUCCU